AGCAGCCGCGGUAAUUCCAGCUCCAAUAGCGUAUAUUAAAGUUGUUGCAGUUAAAAGCUCGUAGUUGAACUUCGGGGUUUACCCAUUGGUCAGGCUUAAUUGUCUGUACUGGUGAGAUGAAUCUCUACCUUCUGAGGAACUUUCAUGCCAUUUAUUUGGUGUGGUUGGAAAUCAGGACUGUUACUUUGAAAAAUUGAGUGUUUAAAGCAGACUAUCGUCUGAAUACAUUAGCAUGGAAUAAUGAAAUAGGACGGACUGAUUCUAUUUCGUUGGUUUCUAGGAUCACCGUAAUGAUUAAUAGGGAUAGUUGGGGGCAUUAGUAUUCAAUUGUCAGAGGUGAAAUUCUUGGAUUUAUUGAAGACUAACUACUGCGAAAGCAUUUGCCAAGGAUGUUUUCA
RNAcentral lists this unclassified non-coding RNA (398 nucleotides) under uncultured Glomus. RNAcentral's name for it is "SSU rRNA". It matches the Rfam family "Eukaryotic small subunit ribosomal RNA", at positions 569 to 972 of the family's 1831-position model. The record is from RNAcentral. Lineage: Eukaryota; Fungi; Glomeromycota; Glomeromycetes; Glomerales; Glomeraceae.